AGGUGGGCCCCCUGCCAGGAUCCUGGAGCCCAUGGCGCUGGGUGGCAAGUGAGGCUGUGUCUGCGUCAGGGUCGCUUGGGGCUUGUUCCAGGGCCACGGGAUUGAAGUUGGGGUUGGGGGGGUAUCAUAGAGUCCGGCUGGAAAGACAUUCUGCGAGACUUUCAGGCUGCUCUGCGCUCUCCCCCACAACCCCCUCCCCUGUAUUCUCACCUACGCAUCCCCGAGGCUGGCAGAGGGUGACCUUAUUUAGAAAUGACAUAUUUUCACGUGAGGUCACACUAGGGUUGGGGGGUCUGGAGGGGAGCUUAAUCCAACACGACUGUUUUUUUCCAGAGGAUGAAAACACCCUGUGAAGAAGCACACCCCCAGGAGAGGCUACGUGCCAGCCAGGACCGAGCGGUGAGCGCUGGGGCAGCGAGCCAAGGACCGCCAGUACCACCGUGCUGGACCAGGCCGCGCGCAUGCGCCCAGGGCCCAGGGCGGAGCGGCCCCGCCCACCAGCGCCUCGGCUUCAGGAAAGAAGCUGGGCUUGCUGGGUCACCCAGUUCUUUGUUAAAACAGCAACUCUAAGAAAUGGGUGCAGGUUUGAAAUGUUAGAUUUCUCCACUGGCUGACAAGCGAGCCUGCCAAUUCUUUGUUUUGUCUUAUUUUUGACCUUGCGGGUGAUGAUAUAAUUUGAACUCCAUGUAUUGAUGGGGCGCUGUGAGUCUUAUCUUUUAGAUUCCAGUUUACUGAUGAAGACAGAGUUAGAAUCCCUUGCAUGAGAUGGAGGAGAUUUUGUUAUCAGCGCCACAGUUUCCAGCUUGUCAUUACCUCUGAUUCCUCUCUGGGAUUUCAAAGCCCUUCCUAAAUCCAGCUCCUUGGAGCACUUAAAAUAAAGAUGCUUUAAUAAUAAUACAACUUGCAAUAUUUCAAUCAAGUCAUAAUUGAUAAAGAAAUCUACAUUGUUUUCACCUGUCCAACAUCUACUUGUUGUAGGGACGUUUGAACUCCCUUCUUAGGAGUGAUGGUGGGUGGGAUCAAAUAGAAGACAGCGUUGCUUUUUUAUGUUAACAUUUGACAGUGUGAGAAAUGGACUUUGUCAAAUUAAGGACUGCCUUACCAAUGCAUCAGAAGCAUGCAUCUCAAACAAGUUUUAGUUCCUUCUGAUGACACAGCAUUAAAUUGAACCGUAACCCCGCUUCAUCAUUACGAAGAAGGGCAGAACAGUGAGAGGCCCUUCUGUCCCGGACGGCCUCUGUGCAGACAGCCCUCGGAUGGCAUUUCUUUUGGGGCUUUUGUUACUGUGAAGGAAGCCUUUUUACUUCUGUCGCAUGAUUUGACACUGAAAAUUAUUGAAAAGAACAAAACCAAAGCC
Molecule: long non-coding RNA, 1357 nt
Organism: Bos taurus (domestic cattle)
Lineage: Eukaryota; Metazoa; Chordata; Mammalia; Artiodactyla; Bovidae
Source: Ensembl